This 127-nucleotide microRNA precursor is filed under the name Pelobates cultripes (western spadefoot toad). Lineage: Eukaryota; Metazoa; Chordata; Amphibia; Anura; Pelobatidae. The record is from RNAcentral.
GUGUGUGUGUGUGUGUGUGUAUUUAGCAGUCUGUGUGUAUAUUCAGCAGACUGUGUACUCAGCAGUCUGUGUGUGUAUUCAGCAGUCUGCUAAAUACAGACAGACUGCUAAGUACACAGACAGACUG